RNAcentral lists this long non-coding RNA (1347 nucleotides) under Homo sapiens (human). RNAcentral's name for it is "HSALNT0233865". Lineage: Eukaryota; Metazoa; Chordata; Mammalia; Primates; Hominidae. The record is from RNAcentral.
GGAAAAGGGAGAUUAAGUUCCCUGCCCCUGGCUAGAACCCCAUAUUUUCAUUUUGCAAUGGAUCUUCUCUAUUACAUAGACAGCCUCACCUGGGCCUUUUCCCUAUUUCAACAUGUACCUUUGGGGAUUCACUAGAAUUAGGCCCCCACAUGAGGGGUCCUUCUUUGUCACAGCCAGUGGAAGGGGGGCUCAGCACCACAUUUCCUCUUGGAAGAAAAGGUCGCAAGGAUCCAGGACCAGCAGCGCCUCCAAGGUCAUCAGCACGGCAACAACACAUGAAGCAAUUAGGAGUGGCCUCCGGCGUCCUGCACUGACUUCCUGCGGCUUCUGCCCCGCUACUCCCUAGCUCCACUACUGGUGAAACUGAAGCCCUUCCUCGGGAUCUCUGAUCUCACUUUCUUCCGCUACAAUGAAGACCUGGAAGAAUCUGUUCACUGAUGACCAGGGCUGGUGUGUGAGCAUGCACACCGAAAUACUGUUAGGAAACCUCUUUCAUCAAAAUUAUAAAAGCCAGAGCUGCUUACUGGGUGUCAGAAGCAGAUAGGAUGAUACAUGUGCUCUGCAACCAUAAAAUACAAUGUUCCAAUCAAAUGAUAAAUCAUGCUUAUAUGAUUUUUAUAUCUCCCGUUAGAAGAAAAAGAAUUAUACUUUCUUCUCACACCUCCCCUUGCCCUUUUUUUUUUUUUUUUUAAAGCAGUGUGCAUCUUUCUGAAACUUCUAGUGAGUCUCAAGUCAUGACAACCUGGGUCAGAGUCAGUACAAAUGGGACAAACCUGGGGGAGAAGAAAGGGGAAGAUGUGGCCCUAGUAGCUUAUGGUAGAUUCUCGGUCAUUGAAUGCUCUGUCCAGCCCACCAUUGUCCUUGGGUGGGAGAGGUGAAUAAUGUUGGAAAAGAUAGAAGAUAUUGCUGGCAUCUUCUUUGUUAUUGUCCCCUACAAAAUGCAGUGGAUGCUACCAGACAUUUUGAGACUCAAUCCUUAUGGAAAAGUAAGAACCAAAAGAACUAUUUCCUGCAAACAAGUAUCUCCCAUUUGACUUUAUAAGAAAAUCUGGGCCGGGUGUGGUGGCUAAUGCCUGUAAUCCCAGCACUUUGGGAGGCCAAGGCUGGUGGAUCACGAGGUCAGGAGAUCGAGACCAUCCUGGUUAGCAUGGUGAAACCCCGUCUCUACUAAAAAUAUAAAAAAUUAGCCGGGCGUGGUGGCUGGCGCCUGCAGUCCCAGCUACUCAGGAGGCUGAGGGAGGACAAUGGCAUGAGCCUAGGAGGCAGAGCUUGCAGUGAGCCGAGAUCAUGCCACUGCACACCAGCCUGGGGGACAGGGCAAGACUCCAUUUCAAAAAAAAAAAAAAA